Molecule: ribosomal RNA, 216 nt
Filed under: uncultured bacterium
Lineage: Bacteria
Description: partial 16S ribosomal RNA
Rfam family: Bacterial small subunit ribosomal RNA
Source: RNAcentral
CCGUAGCCUGGUAGCGGGGGAUAACUAUUGGGAACGAUAGCUAAUACCGCAUAAUAGUAGAUGUUGCAUGACAUUUGCUUAAAAGGUGCAAUUGCAUCACUACCAGAUGGACCUGCGUUGUAUUAGCUAGUUGGUGAGGUAACGGCUCACCAAGGCGACGAUACAUAGCCGACCUGAGAGGGUGAUCGGCCACACUGGGACUGAGACACGGCCCAG